CCUAGCUGUAGGCAACUGUCUAGGUUGCCUUGUACCUAGGCAGAUGUUACACUGUUGAGAGAAAAGCAGCCAGUAGCUGAUAGGCAUUCUGAACCCGGUUAAUGCCAAAUUUGUAUUUAGCUAUAUCCAGCAUGCUAACAGU
Molecule: small nucleolar RNA, 142 nt
Filed under: Ochotona princeps (American pika)
Lineage: Eukaryota; Metazoa; Chordata; Mammalia; Lagomorpha; Ochotonidae
Description: Small nucleolar RNA SNORA74 (ENSOPRG00000023982.1)
Source: RNAcentral